UUUUUAUUUUAUAUUUUAAACAUUGAUUUUAUUUUUUAUGUUUUUAGAUGUUCAUUUUUUUGAAUCUUUUAUUCAAAUAAUAUAAAAAAUAAAAUAUAUAUUGACAUGGAUUAAACAAAGAUAUAUAUUAUUCUAUGUUGCAUAAACAAAUUGGCAAAAUAGAGAUGGAAGAUAAAAAUAU
This 181-nucleotide unclassified non-coding RNA is filed under the name Borreliella bavariensis. Its description in RNAcentral is "5S-23S ribosomal RNA intergenic spacer". The record is from RNAcentral. Lineage: Bacteria; Pseudomonadati; Spirochaetota; Spirochaetia; Spirochaetales; Borreliaceae.